Non-coding RNA from Ceratotherium simum simum (southern white rhinoceros), 1347 nucleotides. Lineage: Eukaryota; Metazoa; Chordata; Mammalia; Perissodactyla; Rhinocerotidae. The record is from the annotation of a RefSeq genome assembly.
AUGGCUGAGGGCAGCAGGUGGUCAUCCAGUGCUGACCCGGUGACCGGUCCAGAGCCCGUGGCUGCAGAGGCACCAGCCCUGGAGGAGAGGGACCCAUACGAGGCAUCUACCUCCUCUCUUGCAGCUUCCACCACAGCCCCAUCAGUCUUCCCGCUGGCCCCCGGCUGUCAGACCACAUCUGGCCCCACAGUGGCCCUGGCCUGCUUGGUCUCUGGCUACUUCCCAGAACCAGUGACCGUGUCCUGGAACUCAGGCGCCCUGACCAGCGGCGUGCACACCUUCCCGUCCGUCCUGCGGUCCUCGGGGCUCUACUCCCUCAGCAGCACGGUGACCGUGCCUGCCAGCAGCUGGCCGAGCCAGACCUUCAUCUGCAACGUAGCCCACCCAGCCAGCAGCACCAAGGUGGACAAGAGAGUCGAUCAGCCCACUCCACCCAAGCAGGAUGAUCAGCCAGACUGCCCCAAGUGUCCCAAAUGCACAGCUCCUGAACUCCCGGGUGGGCCUUCGGUCUUCAUCUUCCCCCCGAAAAUCCAGGACACCCUCACGAUCUCCCGGACGCCCGAGGUCACCUGCGUGGUGGUAGACGUGAUCCAGGACAACCCCGAUGUCCAGUUCACCUGGUACGUGGAUGGCACAGAGGUGAGCAGGGCCACGACGAAGCCGAAGGAGGAGCAGUUCAACAGCACCUACCGCGUGGUCAGCGUCCUCCCCAUCCAGCACCAGGACUGGCUGAAGGGAAAGGAGUUCAAGUGUAAGGUCAACAACAGAGCCCUCCCAGCCCCCAUUGAGAGGACCAUCUCCAAGGCCAAAGGGCAGGCCCGGAAGCCGCAGGUGUACGUGCUGCCCCCACACCGGGAGGAGCUGGCUGAGAGCACGGUCAGCGUCACCUGCCUGGUCAAAGACUUCUACCCACCUGACAUCGACGUCGAGUGGCAGAGCAACAAGCAGACAGAGCCGGAGGACAAGUACAGCACCACCCCACCCCAGCAGGAGGGCGAGGGGUCCUACUUCCUGUACAGCAAGCUCUCGGUGGAGACAAACAGGUGGAAGCAGGGAGACGUGUUCACGUGUGGGGUGAUGCACGAGGCUCUCCACAAACAGUACACGCAGAAAUCCACCUCCCAGUCUCCGGAGGUGGUCCUGGACGAGAGCUGUGUCGAGACCCAGGACGGGGAGCUGGACGGGCUGUGGACCACCAUCUCCAUCUUCAUCAUGCUCUUCCUGCUCAGCGUGUGCUACAGCGCCACCGUCACCCUCUUCAAGGUGAAGUGGAUCUUCUCCUCGGUGGUGGAACUGAAGGAGACGAUGGUCCCCAACUAUGGGAACAUGAUCGGGCAGGGGGCCUAG